UGGGGAAUAUUGGACAAUGGGGGAAACCCUGAUCCAGCGACGCCGCGUGGGUGAAGAAGGCCUGCGGGUUGUAAAGCCCUUUCGGUGGGGAAGAAAAGCCUCGACCUAACACGUCGGGGUAUUGACGUAACCCACAAAAGAAGCACCGGCUAACUCUGUGCCAGCAGCCGCGGUAAUACAGAGGGUGCGAGCGUUAAUCGGAAUUACUGGGCGUAAAGCGCGCGUAGGCGGCUAUACAAGUCGAGUGUGAAAUCCCCGGGCUCAACCUGGGAACUGCAUUCGAGACUGUAUGGCUUGAGUAUGGGAGAGGGGGGCGGAAUUUCAGGUGUAGCGGUGAAAUGCGUAGAUAUCUGAAGGAACAUCAGUGGCGAAAGCGGCCUCCUGGACCAAUACUGACGCUCAUGUGCGAAAGCGUGGGGAGCAAACAGG
Molecule: ribosomal RNA, 429 nt
Filed under: uncultured bacterium
Lineage: Bacteria
Description: bacterial SSU rRNA
Rfam family: Bacterial small subunit ribosomal RNA
Source: RNAcentral